CUAAAUGCCUGCAAUAAACAAGUUUCUUCAUUAGCGUGUACAAAUUGUGUUAUCAACGAAAAAGUGUAGUCUAAUCGAGUCAUUAGUUAAACUAGAUUUACUUGAUUUUGAUAUUAUUUUUCAGUUAAUUGAUAGGAGCUUGAAUAACUUUCAUUGAUUGGUUUUUCAGCUUUCCUCGAUUAGUGGUAUUUAUCUCUUUUUUGAUUUUGUAAAAAUCAUGUCUUGAAAAUAAUAGAAAGAUACAUUAUGAAUUAAAGAGGCAUCACAUGUUUUGAUAUUUCUUUGAAAAGGAAAAGUGGUGUCUAUGACAUAUUAAAUGCAUAAAAUUGAAUCAAGCAUUUAUUACCUAUGAGUGGUACUUAAUAUAUGUAAGCAACUAAAAUGGCAUAUGUUAUGUGGUAAGAUCUGUGGAUUAGAAAACGACACCAGAAGGAAAAAAGUUUAAAUUUUUACAAUUAAUGGGACUAGUAGAUCCAUAAGUAUCUUAUUUAGACUUUAAACAUUUUAUAGCGAUGGAAACAACUUUUAGAUAUAUUAUUUAUACUGUUCAAUGAACUCAUAUUUGAUAAAUAAAUAAUAUUAAAGUCAUAUUUGUCUAGAUAAUGAUAGCAAAAAUCAAUAUUAUAUUGGACUCAUAUUUGACAAAUAAAUAAUAUUAAAGGAUCAGUAAAAAAAGAUAUCCAAAACCACAAAUAUAUAUAUAGAAAAUGCUUUAGUAAAGAAUUAAUAUAAUAAUAUUACCCAUCAUAGAAGUACAAAAACGAGCAUAUACUUAGAGGUAUAUAUUAUACAACUGCGUAUAUUUCAACGAUAAGUAUAAUGAAAUGUAUAAUAAAUGUCGACUAUUAUGAUUGAAAAGGUAUAUGGAUACCAACUGAGAUUAAAAAUUAUCUAUCAUCGCCAAAAAUUAUUUAACAUGCACUAUAAAUAGGUAAAUAUAACAGAACAGUCCAUCAUAGAAGGAAAAAUAAUAUAUGUCUAGAGGGUUCUAUUAUUUGACUACAUAUAUUUAGAUAACAAUAUAAUGAAACGUACAAAACCAUGAGCCAUGUAGGAUGACACUUAACGACUUAAGUGAGAGCAGACAUAAUUUGUAAUGUGCGUCUUUUUUGUCCUACAAGUGAAAGGUGGGAUAAUUACCAAAAAAAAUUCCUAAACCUAUUAUAAUUGUACCAAUUCAAUUAUAAACAUUUUUUUGCCGAUUCACUCAUAAAUCUUUUACAAUUGUACAAAUUCAAUCCAUUCAACUAUAUUUUGCUUGUUGGCACUAAC
RNAcentral lists this long non-coding RNA (1272 nucleotides) under Eucalyptus grandis. RNAcentral's name for it is "long non-coding RNA (EGRA_LNC007715)". Lineage: Eukaryota; Viridiplantae; Streptophyta; Magnoliopsida; Myrtales; Myrtaceae. The record is from RNAcentral.